RNAcentral lists this unclassified non-coding RNA (353 nucleotides) under soil metagenome. RNAcentral's name for it is "partial contains 5.8S ribosomal RNA, internal transcribed spacer 2, and large subunit ribosomal RNA". The stretch from base 1 to 120 matches the Rfam family "5.8S ribosomal RNA", at positions 35 to 154 of the family's 154-position model. The record is from RNAcentral.
GAUGAAGAACGUAGCGAAAUGCGAUAAGUAAUGUGAAUUGCAGAAUUCAGUGAAUCAUCGAAUCUUUGAACGCACAUUGCGCCCGCCAGUAUUCUGGCGGGCAUGCCUGUUCGAGCGUCAUUACAACCCUCAGGCCCCCGGGCCUGGCGUUGGGGAUCGGCGGAAGCCCCCUGCGGGCACAACGCCGUCCCCCAAAUACAGUGGCGCUCCCGCCGCAGCUUCCAUUGCGUAGUAGCUAACACCUCGCAACUGGAGAGCGGCGCGGCCACGCCGUAAAACACCCAACUUCUGAAUGUUGACCUCGAAUCAGGUAGGAAUACCCGCUGAACUUAAGCAUAUCAAUAAGCGGAGGA